This 574-nucleotide ribosomal RNA is filed under the name uncultured marine eukaryote. Its description in RNAcentral is "SSU rRNA". It matches the Rfam family "Eukaryotic small subunit ribosomal RNA", at positions 612 to 1189 of the family's 1831-position model. The record is from RNAcentral.
GUUGCGGUUAAAAAGCUCGUAGUUGGAUUUCUGUUGAGGAUGACCGGUCCGCUCUUUGAGCGCGUAUCUGGUUCAGCCUUGGCAUCCUCUUGGGGAACGCUACUGUGCUUGAUUGCAUGGGGCGGUAUUCAAGACUUUUACUUCGAGGAAAUUAGAGUGUUCACUGCAAGCGUUAGCAAUUGAAUACAUUAGCAUGGAAUAAUAAUAUAGGACCUUGGUACUAUUUUGUUGGUUUCUAGAACUAAGGUAAUGAUUAAUAGGGACAAUUGGGGGCAUUCGUAUUAACGCGUCAGAGGUGGAAUUCUUAGAUUGCGUUACGACGAACUACUGCGAAAGCAUUUGCCAAGGAUGUUUUCAUUGAUCAAGAACGAAAGUAUGGGGAUCGAAGACGCUUAGAUACCGUCGUAGUCUAUACCAUAAACUAUCCCAACUAGAGAUUGGAGGUCGUUCUCUUUAUGACUCCUUCAGCACCUUAUGAGAAAUCAAAGUCUUUGGGUUCCGGGGGGAGUAUGGUCGCAAGGCUGAAACUUAAAGGAAUUGACGGAAGGGCACCACCAGGAGUGGAGCCUGCGGC